GGCUCUGUAGUGAAGUUCAUGGUGAGUUGCAAGCUCAUUGAUGUACAUUUGUUGUGUACCGGAGUCU
Molecule: transfer RNA, 67 nt
Filed under: Loxioides bailleui (palila)
Lineage: Eukaryota; Metazoa; Chordata; Aves; Passeriformes; Fringillidae
Description: tRNA-Cys
Source: RNAcentral